CAAGCAUAAAACUUUGCUUCUAAUGGGAUCUCUGUAAAAGAAGGUUUAAGUGACCAUACCUACACAGGUGACAGUUAACAGGGACAUCUGAGGUGACCUUUAAUGUAAGUCCACUUUCAAUUAGCAUUGACAGUGAUCAUUUUCCUCAUCCUCCCUAACAAAAAGUUUGCCUAGCAAUAAGGCCAUUUUGCAAAACCAUCACCACAGCAGUUUCCAUUUUCCUGCUAGUUCAGGAAAGGCAGUUCUACCUUUACUUCCCCCCACCCCUUCUCUCCAAGCAAUAGGUGAACAAGGUAAAAACACUACCAGGAAUGAAACAAGCCACAUUAAGGCAAGAAGCAGCCAGAUAUACCAGCAGAUAUGGAUGUGCUGAUUCCUAAGUACAAAUUACUGACAAAUGAGGUAAUGGGGAAAAAAAAAGACGCACACAAGCUGAGCCUCUGAUCUACUUCGUGCUAGAAUUCUUCUUAACUUCACUCCAGAGAAGUUCUUUACCUGGCUUCUCUUUCUUGCAUCAAGAUCUCAGUCUUCCCUUUCAGAAGAAAAGAUCCUGUGUAGCCUUAAGGAAAUUUGUGACUCUACACUGUAAGUCAGCUUCAACUUUGCCUUUAUCAAACCCUCGGAAGUUACACAGUUAGAAACAGUACACCCCUAUCGGCAAUAGUCCGCAGAUUGAAGCCCUGUCCUUUUCAACAGGUUGAUCCUGUUUAAUCGCAAUGAAAAAGAGUCACACUUGCUACGCACCGGGCUUGAGCACAGGGAUGGCAACAGGGCAUUUCGUUUGCCUUUUGACUGAUAGUAAAGUAGAAACGAAAAACCCCGCCCCUCAAACAACCUCAAAACAAACAAAAACCUUGAAGCCUUACUGCAGCACUAUUCUUUACGGGUAGAAAAGUUGUGGCGGGACCUUAACAUUACGGAGAGGCAUAUGUGGUUUGCAGCAGCCCUUCCCGGGGGAGCUGCCCCGGCAGGUGCCGGGAAGCGGCUGAGCCCGGCUGCUCCGCGCUCGCUGUCCCGCACGGCCCGGGCCGAUGAGGCACACACGGGCUCCCGCCCAGCUCCCGAGCGCGUCACGGCCGGCGCCGCGCGGCUCCCCCGGCCCGCGGGGGAGGAGGAGGAGGCGGCCCGGCCUGACUCACCGCGGAGGGGGCCAGCGCGCCGGCCCGGGCGGCGGCCGCGGGCGGACCCCCUGCCCCGCUGCAGUUUGCACACAGCAGCACCCCAUGUUUAUUCCACAGUCUCCCCAUAUCACUUUCUGCUUGUGUCCAUCAUUUUCUCCCAGAGGGAUGCCUCAACUGGAGCCUCACGGACAUGGCUUUCUCCACAGGCAAGAAAAAGAUUUUUUCUUCACACACAAAGUUUUGCCUUACUUCUCUGUAUAUCCGAACACUCAAGGGCAUAGUCCUGGUUGUUUUUUCCUUUAUCCACCCUCCUGAUCUCCAAUUCUCAACAAUUCCUUUACAGUUCUUACAGCUAAAGUGAAAGUCUUUGGAGAGCAUCCUUUGCUGAGACAGCAAAGCCAGUUCCUAUUACAGUUCUCCUCACUGCAUCCCAUUGUACACAUAAGAAACAUUUUUUUUUCUCCCAUAGCUUUUAAUCCUCAGUGCUAUGUUCAUUACAUUACUUUAAGAAUAUGUCGCUCUGUUUCCUUUUCAUUUUUCAAGGCACAGGAUAGUUUCUAAGAGGGUGCUUACUGGAAUUAAUUUCAAAAGGAUAGCUUAAUUAUGUUAUGGCAAAUGUAUAAUCAAGAUACUGAUGUGCACUUGAUACAUCAAAUUUAUUUUCAAUGAAGUUGUUAGUUAAUUUUUUCUUCCUCCAGUUAAUUCUAGAGUUUACUGAAAAACCCACUCAACAAAAAACCUACAGUUUACAAGCUGUGAAAUGUACUGUGAUAGAAAAUUGGCAAUGCUUUCCCUUGGGUUUUUUUCAUUUAUUUUAAUAAGAAAAAAAUAUAGAGAGUAACCUCAUUUUUAGUUUUCUUGCUGCCGAUUUAUAAUACAUUUCCUCUUGUUCAGUAUUCAAAAUUGUUUCAAGAAUUAUCUUGGAAGAAAUCAAUCCACCAAUACAGAACUUAGAUCAAUACAGAAUCACAGAUGGCUGAGAUUGGCUUGUCCUCCAUGUGUCUGGAAAUCCAGGAUUAGAUGCUCCAUACCUUUCCCGUGGAUCUAGGAAAUGAGCUGGUUUGCCAUAAUCCCUUCCAUCCUCCUCACUUGAUGAGCAAUUAUUCAACAUAUUUUGUAGCCCUCAGACUGGAUGCAGAAUUAUUCAUUCCCUUCCUUCUCCAGGAUCCUGUGGGGAUUAAACCAACCCAAGUGAAUUUGGGGUGCUGAGAACUGGCAAAAGCAUCCCAUAUGAUUUCUGGAUCCCAUAGGUAGAGUUUAUUUGGUGAUUUAUGGAUAUGAAUAACUUUUUCUAUUUAUAAGGUGUCUCUUCAGGGGCCUCAGGCUCUGCUGAGAAAUCUGAGGGGAAAAACUCAUGAAAGUUUAGAUGAUAAGGGAUAUGCAAGGUGCCUGUGGGUCUGGAGCAGGACACACUGAUCCCAUAAGAUCAUGCAAAGACAGAUUGAACUACCAAAUUUUGUUAUUACAAAAUGUGAUGUUCAUCAAAACAUAAACGUUUUGCAGAUAAAAAUCAAUUUCUGUGAUUGUACUUCCUAGGGGGGAAAAAAUGAUAAUACCUUUCAGUAAAGAAGAAAGGUUCUGUUUCAACAAUUGCAAAAACUAACACUUCAACACAGCAUUUCCAAAUAAUUUCAUGUACUGAAAUUAUUUCACCUAAUACAAAAAUAAUGCUGAAUUCUUUUUCUUUCCAAUAAACAGUAUAGUGUGGAAUAUAUAUUACAUUUUAUAUUACCAAGAGCUACAUCUCAAUGGACAUCUUUAACAUUGGAAUGGAGGCAGUUUUACAAAAUCUACUGAGUUGUUUAAGGGUUGGGGUUUUUUUGAAGACUUUCUUUAAGGGGCAAGACCCCAAACCUGACACUGGCUUUAAUGGGAAGUAUUGUGAAUUCUUUAAUCUAAAAGAAAUCAAAAUGGUUUCUAGAUUAAAUAUCUGCAGGGUCCAGCACUCAAAUGCAAAAUGCUGCUCCACCAAGCAGAACGCUUCAGAGAAAGACAUAAGAGGCAGGCAAAGGAGGUAUUUUCCCAUUAAAGUGGAAAGUGAUCUGGGAAAAGGUAACAGAGUUACUGUCAGAGGAACUAACAGUUACUGUCACUGUUCCUUGAUUCCCAUGUUGUUCUGCAAGUACCUCCCAGCCCACUGGGAGAAACACCAAGGUGAGCCUGGGAAAUAGAAUUUCCAGUGGACAAUUUAGGAGAGAAUUCUGCCAACUGAGAUCGCACUAGUCAAGAAUUUUAGGCAAAAUAAAUUAAUGGAAUACUUCAUAAAUUUUCUAAGUAUCCAUUUGGGUAUGUUAAGUGGGUAUAAGGUGGUUUACAUA
Long non-coding RNA from Prinia subflava (tawny-flanked prinia), 3439 nucleotides. RefSeq lists it as uncharacterized. The transcript has 4 exons. Lineage: Eukaryota; Metazoa; Chordata; Aves; Passeriformes; Cisticolidae. The record is from RefSeq and is a predicted model, not a curated record.